RNAcentral lists this ribosomal RNA (503 nucleotides) under uncultured bacterium. RNAcentral's name for it is "bacterial SSU rRNA". It matches the Rfam family "Bacterial small subunit ribosomal RNA", at positions 28 to 526 of the family's 1533-position model. The record is from RNAcentral.
GACGAACGCUGGCGGCGUGCCUAAUACAUGCAAGUCGAGCGGAGCACUUCGGUGCUUAGCGGCGGACGGGUGAGUAACACGUAGGCAACCUGCCUAUAAGACUGGGAUAACUAUCGGAAACGAUAGCUAAGACCGGAUAACUGGUUUUCUCGCAUGAGAGAAUCAUGAAACACGGAGCAAUCUGUGGCUUAUAGAUGGGCCUGCGGCGCAUUAGCUAGUUGGUAGGGUAACGGCCUACCAAGGCGACGAUGCGUAGCCGACCUGAGAGGGUGAACGGCCACACUGGGACUGAGACACGGCCCAGACUCCUACGGGAGGCAGCAGUAGGGAAUCUUCCGCAAUGGACGCAAGUCUGACGGAGCAACGCCGCGUGAGUGAUGAAGGUUUUCGGAUCGUAAAGCUCUGUUGCCCUAGACGAACAGCAGCAGGAGUAACUGCCUGUUGUGUGACGGUAUAGGAGAAGAAAGCCCCGGCUAACUACGUGCCAGCCGCCGCCGUAACAC